This 522-nucleotide ribosomal RNA is filed under the name uncultured bacterium. RNAcentral describes it as "bacterial SSU rRNA". It matches the Rfam family "Bacterial small subunit ribosomal RNA", at positions 8 to 518 of the family's 1533-position model. The record is from RNAcentral.
AGAGUUUGAUCCUGGCUUAGGAUGAACGCUAGCUACAGGCUUAACACAUGCAAGUCGAGGGGCAGCAUGGUCUUAGCUUGCUAAGGCUGAUGGCGACCGGCGCACGGGUGAGUAACGCGUAUCCAACCUUCCCCUUAGUAGGGCAUAGCCCGGCGAAAGUCGGAUUAACACCCUAUGUUUUCCGUUGCGGGCAUCUAAUAUGGAACAAAGAUUUAUCGCUAAGGGAUGGGGAUGCGUCUGAUUAGGUAGUAGGCGGGGUAACGGCCCACCUAGCCCUCGAUCAGUAGGGGUUCUGAGAGGAAGGUCCCCCACAUUGGAACUGAGACACGGUCCAAACUCCUACGGGAGGCAGCAGUGAGGAAUAUUGGUCAAUGGCCGAGAGGCUGAACCAGCCAAGUAGCGUGCAGGACGACGGCCCUAUGGGUUGUAAACUGUCUUUUAUGCGGGGAUAAAGUCGCCCACGUGUGGGUGUUUGCAGGUACCGCAUGAAUAAGGACCGGCUAAUUCCGUGCCAGCCGCUGC